RNAcentral lists this ribosomal RNA (465 nucleotides) under Vreelandella stevensii. RNAcentral's name for it is "partial 16S ribosomal RNA". It matches the Rfam family "Bacterial small subunit ribosomal RNA", at positions 338 to 795 of the family's 1533-position model. The record is from RNAcentral. Lineage: Bacteria; Pseudomonadati; Pseudomonadota; Gammaproteobacteria; Oceanospirillales; Halomonadaceae.
CCUACGGUGUGCUGCAGUGGGGAAUAUUGGACAAUGGGCGAAAGCCUGAUCCAGCCAUGCCGCGUGUGUGAAGAAGGCCUUCGGGUUGUAAAGCACUUUCAGUGGGGAAGAAAGCCUUGGGGCUAAUACCCUCGAGGAAGGACAUCACCCACAGAAGAAGCACCGGCUAACUCCGUGCCAGCAGCCGCGGUAAUACGGAGGGUGCGAGCGUUAAUCGGAAUUACUGGGCGUAAAGCGCGCGUAGGCGGUCUGAUAAGCCGGUUGUGAAAGCCCCGGGCUCAACCUGGGAACGGCAUCCGGAACUGUCAGGCUAGAGUGCAGGAGAGGAAGGUAGAAUUCCCGGUGUAGCGGUGAAAUGCGUAGAGAUCGGGAGGAAUACCAGUGGCGAAGGUGGCCUUCUGGACUGACACUGACGCUGAGGUGCGAAAGCGUGGGUAGCAAACAGGAUUAGAUACCCUUGUAGUC